This 376-nucleotide ribosomal RNA is filed under the name uncultured bacterium. RNAcentral describes it as "bacterial SSU rRNA". It matches the Rfam family "Bacterial small subunit ribosomal RNA", at positions 521 to 896 of the family's 1533-position model. The record is from RNAcentral.
UAAUACGGGGGGAGCAAGCGUUGUCCGGAAUUACUGGGCGUAAAGGGCGUGUAGGCGGGCUUGUAAGUCAGGAGUGAAAUUUGUCGGCUUAACCGACAAUCUGCUUCUGAUACUGCAGGCCUUGAGUAAGAUAGAGGAAAGUGGAAUUCCUGGUGUAGCGGUGAAAUGUGUAGAUAUCAGGAAGAACACCGGUAGCGAAGGCGGCUUUCUGGGUCUUUACUGACGCUGAGGCGCGAAAGCGUGGGUAGCAAACAGGAUUAGAUACCCUGGUAGUCCACGCCUUAAACGAUGAGCACUAGGUGUUGAAGGUUCGACCCCUUCAGUGCCGCAGCUAACGCAUUAAGUGCUCCGCCUGGGGAGUACGACCGCAAGGUUG